Molecule: transfer RNA, 71 nt
Filed under: Spinacia oleracea (spinach)
Lineage: Eukaryota; Viridiplantae; Streptophyta; Magnoliopsida; Caryophyllales; Amaranthaceae
Rfam family: tRNA
About the family: Transfer RNA (tRNA) molecules are approximately 80 nucleotides in length.
Source: Rfam by way of RNAcentral
AACCUAUUAGCUCAAAUGGGAAAGCAAUGUGCCAUUGCAUAUGGAUGUAGGUUCAAAUCCUACAUAGGUUG